RNAcentral lists this transfer RNA (74 nucleotides) under Enterococcus faecium. RNAcentral describes it as "tRNA-Asn". It matches the Rfam family "tRNA". Rfam says of the family: Transfer RNA (tRNA) molecules are approximately 80 nucleotides in length. Their secondary structure includes four short double-helical elements and three loops (D, anti-codon, and T loops). Further hydrogen bonds mediate the characteristic L-shaped molecular structure. tRNAs have two regions of fundamental functional importance: the anti-codon, which is responsible for specific mRNA codon recognition, and the 3' end, to which the tRNAs corresponding amino acid is attached (by aminoacyl-tRNA synthetases). tRNAs cope with the degeneracy of the genetic code in two manners: having more than one tRNA (with a specific anti-codon) for a particular amino acid; and 'wobble' base-pairing, i.e. permitting non-standard base-pairing at the 3rd anti-codon position. RNAcentral also lists the same sequence under 2 other names. The record is from RNAcentral. Lineage: Bacteria; Bacillati; Bacillota; Bacilli; Lactobacillales; Enterococcaceae.
UCCGGCAUAGCUCAGUUGGUAGUAGCGCAUGACUGUUAAUCAUGAUGUCGUAGGUUCGAGUCGUACUGCCGGAG